RNAcentral lists this long non-coding RNA (501 nucleotides) under Parus major (Great Tit). RNAcentral describes it as "lncRNA (ENSPMJG00000009920.1)". Lineage: Eukaryota; Metazoa; Chordata; Aves; Passeriformes; Paridae. The record is from RNAcentral.
AUGCUUUUAUUACUUAUAUUGUUUAUAGCAGAAAUGCUGCUCCCAGUACACCCCCAUGUAGGAAAUGUGGUGGCUGACAAAAGUCAGUGUCUACCUGGGCAGGAGCACCCAUGUGCAAGCCUGCACAUGCAGGCACAGCUCUGCGCUGCUAGGGUUGAUAUUUGGGAGCUGAGUCUGUCUUGUUUAUUUUCUCAACAGGCAGCAAACUGUAAGGAAUGUGUAAGGGACUACGAGAACGUUGCCCAUUCCUUGUGUUUCUACGUGAAAUGCAUUUCUAGCCACACCCAUAAAGAACUUGUCUCUCCUGACAGUACACAGUGGGGCAUUUUCAGGAUCUCUGAGCAAGGAUCUCUACUUGCACAUGAAGACCCUCAAGUCUUGCUUGCACAUGAAGUUUUAUGCCUUUUGAACUGGUUUGGCUGUGCUGUGUGGACGGCUCGUUUACCUCUACAGGAGAAGGAUGAACCUCCAAGAGAACCCAGCAGAAUACCUUUCAAAUAG